Sebastes umbrosus (honeycomb rockfish) is the source of this 2576-nucleotide long non-coding RNA. RefSeq lists it as uncharacterized. NCBI's taxonomy places the organism in Eukaryota, Metazoa, Chordata, Actinopteri, Perciformes, Sebastidae. The record is from RefSeq and is a predicted model, not a curated record. The transcript has 3 exons.
AGCGGUUGUGUUGCCUAAACUUAACUUCCUGUUUAUUUUGAAAGGACACAAUGCAUGUAACGAGCGUAUAUUGACACGCCGUCCCCGGUCCGUCCAAAAGUAACGCAAGAGCGGUACCCUGUGCGUCGGUCCCCGAUGCCGAGGGGCACUGACCAAGCGGCGGUAUUUGACGAGUCGGGAGUGAGAAUGUGUUGGCAUAAAAUGAGCUAACAUGUUCAUACCAUGUGAAAAAUUAUAAAAAUACAUCUCCGCUUGCAGGUGGACUGGACUGGCCUUUAGUUUUAGAGGGUGUGUUUAAUUGUCAGCAUAAAAUGAAUACUGUGUUGACUACUGUAUAUGAUGACACUGAAGUGCUAUAAACUUAGUGAUAGUGCACAGUAGUAGUUGUAGUAGUAGUAGUAGUAGUAGUAGUAAUAGUGAUAUGCACAGUGUGGUUUAUUUAUGUUCACAUGCUAUACACAGGGAUUAAUUCUGAUUCUUUCUUCUUUAACAACCUGUAACGAAAUCUCCGAUUUAAUCAUUCAGACAAAAUUGGUCAGGUGAAAGAAAGCGGGAGUUUUUGAUGGCUAUGUGAUGGCAGGAUUGAAUUUUGAAAGGAAUAAUGUCUUUGUUUGGACUUAGAGAUUUAUGUUAUAGACUUUUUAUAUAGAAGAGCAACAAGGUAUUGAAUUAAUAUGAACUUGAAAUGUGCAGCCUGUUAAAUUUUGUUUUAUAUGCUUGACCAAGUGACUCUGUGCUUCAUUAACUUGCCCGGGUGUGGAUGGAUUCAGAAAAGAACGAUUUGUACUAAAAUUUACAUAUUCAGAGUUUGAGUUUCUAUAUUAACUUCACAUCACGGUUACUUUAUUAGCUUGUCAAAACCAUGUUUAAUUAACUUUUCACUUGUCUAAAACUGAAACUGGAGUGUCAGCAUGUUUUGAGUGUCCUAUCAGAAACCUUCCACUAGAGGGCAGCCAAUCAUCACUCUAACCAUCCUCUGCAUUUUGUAAUUUCUUGUAAAAUCAGUGUUUAUGCAGCUUAGCUACUCUGGUUUAGUGCCCUCUGGUUGGGUGAGAAGCUACACACCACACCACCUCCACAGGUGUACAUUUGAGCUGCAAAAUACAGGCUUUUAUGGGUUAAUUCCAACAAGAAAUGUGUUACUAAAUGUCCUGAAAUCUGGCAAACGCUUGUGUGAGGUUACUCUGCAGCCUCUGAUUUAGUAGAGUAUCCUCUGCAACAGGAUUUUACCCAACAUGAAUGUCUUUUUGAUGAUAUUAUUUUGUGUUAAAUGUUGCUUAGUUUGCUAAAGUGAACCUCUUAAGUUGUCUCACAUGACCAUCUCAGUAAAGGCUAGGUCAUAUGUUUGCCUGCUUCUAGGCCAAAGUGGGACGACCAGAAAGAAAAUGCAAGGACAUGAAUGAUGCUUUUGUUUGCACGUGUCUGUCUGACACAAUUCACAAUACCCAAGCCUGUAUAAAUAUCUGUAUCUUAUACACUGAAAAAAAGGGAAAUAGCAGGUCUUUGAAUUUACAAAAAUGUAGUUAGUAUAUGUAACACAAUUCAUUAAUAUUCCUUGUGUAAACAUGGUUUAAUCAUGUAGACUUCAGUUGUUUAUGGGAAAUGUUGAAUAUACAAGUUUCUCUCGCGUUGAUAGAAAGUGAUUGAAUUGAAAAAUUGAAAUCGAUGUAAUUGAGAUUUGUCACCACCGGAAAUGGAAUAUAUUUAAAAACGCGCGGGGCCAACUGUCAUUGGUCGUUCCGGAGCAGGAGGUGGCGCUAAUGCACCAAUCAGCUGGAGGCCAACCGCUGCAAUACAAGAAGAAGAAGAAGAAGAAGAAGAAGCGUUAACCGCGUAAACUGAAGAUUCUCCAGCAACAUGUUGCCUCCAACAGAGACCUAACUACUGAACAAGUCCAUCAUCCUAUUUGCACAGAAUUUGAGUAAACAGCUUUGAGGAUGGGGACUGCUGUGAUCCUUAAGAUCAUCUUGACUGAUGGCAGCCGUCAGAGGUUGACUCUCUCCCCUGGACUCCCUGCAUCCAUUGAUGACCUCAUCGUUGAAGUGAAGAAACAGUGUGGACUUCAGGGAAAUUUUGGACUUCAAUUUAUGGAUUCCUUGUUUGGAAAUGAGUUCCUUAACGUCAUCUCAAUUUCAGAAGUAGAAGACAAAGGUACUCUUAAAGUCAUUGAUAUGUCAAGGCCCACCACUAUGCAGCAUGAUGAUGAGAGGUCCACUGUUUUCAAUCCAGUCCUAAGACCCCAAGCAUUCACUUCUUCCCCUGUAAAUGACUCUUCGUCCCUGUCAGAUGGAUCUGUGGAUACAGAUAUACUGUCAUCGAGUGAGUCUACAAGCUCACGGUCCUCUUGGCCUGCUGUUUUUUAUGUGCCUAAGUUCACCUACGAUGCUGAAUUAAAACUUCAGCAGGCAAGAUUAGCUUAUAUUCAAAAUGGCACUGUACUUAUUCCAGAUCCCAAGUUGAAGUCAUCCAUCCUUGAUGGUUUAGUGCAGGAAAUUGUGCAGUAUAAAGUCUAUGUCAGUGAUAAGGAGAUGGAACAGGUAGCCCAGAGUCUUAUCAAGACGCAUCCAUGUUUAACU